Long non-coding RNA from Gorilla gorilla gorilla (western lowland gorilla), 3208 nucleotides. RefSeq lists it as uncharacterized. The record is from RefSeq and is a predicted model, not a curated record. The transcript has 3 exons. NCBI's taxonomy places the organism in Eukaryota, Metazoa, Chordata, Mammalia, Primates, Hominidae.
GGAGUUCCGGGUGGGCGUGGGCUUGGCGGGCCCUGCACUCGGAGCAGCCGGCCAGCCCUGCCGGUCCCGGGCAAUGAGAGGCUUAGCACCCGGGCCAGCGGCUGCGGAGGGUGUACUGGGUCCCCCAGCAGUGCCGGCCCACUGGCACUGCGCUCGAUUUCUCGCCGGGCCUUAGCUGCCUCCCCGCGGGUCAAGGCUCGGGACCUGCAGCCUGCCAUGCCUGAGCCUCCCCGCGCUCUGUGGGCUCCUGUGCGGCCCGAGCCUCCCCGACGAGCACCACCCCCUGCUCCACGGCGCCCAGUCCCAUCGACCACCCAAGGGCUGAGGAGUGCGGGCGCGUGGCACGGGACUGGCAGGCAGCUCCACCUGUAGCCCAGGUGCGGGAUCCACUGGAGACUGAGACACUGGAUUGGUGCCUGAAACUGGUACACACAGUGGGAGGAACGGAUGAGAGCAAGCAUGGACAACCACAUCCCUUGUCAAGCAAACGUCAGAGCUAGAAUGGCUGCUGAACUUACUGCAUCUCCCAUUGGUGAAACUUCUGGGCAUGCUUACAAGGUUGUGAAAUCAAGGCCUAUCCCUGUUGCUAGAGUUUACAAUCAAAAGAACACAGAACAAAUACAAAAAUAAGCCUCAUCACAUAGGACUGGCAAACUCAAGGAAGAUCUUGGACUUAAUUAUUUUGAAAACCUAAAAUGAAGGGUUUGUUUCAGAAAAGAAAGAGAAGGCAAUGAGUUAGAUAUAGGCAUUUGGGCUUCAAAGGCCUGGAGCUGUUAAAAACAUAGGUUUCUUUUCCAGAUUACAACUUUUGACACCCACUGGGGUUCAUUCUUUUGCAGAAGUGCAUUCUGCCUUUUAGAAGGAAAAUAUUAUCUUCAGCUCUCUGAAUUAUUCAAGGCAAACUCUGAAGCCAGAAGCAUCCAUAAUCAUAUUAUCAUCACAGACAAUAAAUAAUACAGCAUUAGAAACAGUAAGUUCCCUGAUACAACUCAGUGAAACCCAUAGUCAGGUUCUCUAUGUCAUAUUAACAUAUCCAAGUCAACUCCUAUGCUAUAUUUCUGUCUUUCUCAAAAUAAGAGUUAUCACUGUUAUAGAAUAAGGGAAUUAUCAAUGUUAUACAAAUCUGCUGCUAGCAUUGAGUUAUUUGGUGUGUGUCAGCCAUCCAUCAUCUGUACACAGAAGCUGCACACAGAAUCUGCGUAGACUCAACUACCUGUUUCAUUAUGAUAUUCAAAUGGAAAAAUGCCCAGAGUUUCUGCAAAAUAAAGUUACUUACACAGAGCUUACUACAUAAUACAAACCCAAUAAAUCUUGACUAUUGUUUAAUUAUUGUUAAUUUUUCAUGAUUCUCCCUCUGACAUUAACAUUUGAAAGAACAUCUUCAUGAAAUCAUAGGUAGGGACAACCAAACCUUAGGAAGUUUUAUCAGCUUACAGGACAACUAACGUACACCAAAAAUAUAUCAUUCUAUUUAAUAGAGAAAAAAAGCUAAGAUUUCACAGCCUCUCUUCCUGAUUCAUUUCAGUGUUUAACAACCCUGUCAGGAAAUUCCUCAAUUAUUCUAACCCAGCUACCUCAUACUGCAGUUUAAGUUUAUUUCCUCAUAUUCUGGCUUCAACAGAGAUAAAGAACAGAUGGUCACUAUCCUUUGCAUAAUAAUAAUAUUAAUGUUUUAUGGGUACAAAGACUUAGUAAAUCUUUUCUUGAUUAUUUUCUUUACCACAAGAAAGUCUAGUUCAUUAAACAUCAUCAGUUGCACUAUGUUUGAAUAUACUAGACAAGUGUUAAAUAUCAAGAAAACACAUCUAUUAUUUGUAACGUGCACAAAACAUUCUCAAAUUUGAAUAUUUUGAGCAACCAUCUGCAUACACUAUAUUUCAGCAAGGUAGCAAAUGAUGUUUUUGAAUAUUUACUUGAAGAAGAGAAAAUUCUUAAUUAAGCAAUAGUAGAAUAACUUCUGCAGAAAAAUUAAAAUGUAGAAUAAGUUCUGCAGAAAAAAUGAUUUGGAUAGAGUUUGUCAUAUUUUUGAAUUCACGUUCAACUUAAAAGAUAACCGAAUAAUUGUAGAUUAAUUUACCUAGGCCAAUAUAAACUUCAGAACAAAUUAUGAAGAAAUACUUUAUAAAAACAAAACCACAAAGUUCUGAAUAAAAAAAUAACACCUAUCAUCAAUGAGCCUUUGAUAAGACUGAUGAAAUAAGCAAACAUCUGUUAACUUAGCUCAGAAAAGUUGAGAGUAUGUCAACUAUCAAAUAUAAGAUAAAAACAAAAAUUUUUACUAAAAAGUAGAAUGUCUAAAACAUGGACAGUUAGAGCAUUUUUGUGUAUAUUUUAAAAGCGAAAGAAAGAUUUCUGGCAUCAAAAGGGCAAUUCACUUAUCUACAUCUUCAGGGAUUAAAUUUUAUCAUUUUAGUUGUUUGUCAUCUUAUUGUGUUUUUCUUUUCUGUGUGUUUUUUCCCAGUAUAUUUGUUGUCUCUGUCUCUCUCACACACACUUUCACAUGUCCAGAAACUUUCCAGCUUUUAAAAAACUAUUCACUCAUAAAAUUAAAUUCUAUUCCUAUUAACAAAUCACUUAUAUAUUGAAAAUUAUAAGAAUUCAAUCUAAAAAGCGUGAAUGGCUUUUCGUCUCCCUAGUACUCUGGGAUAGAAUGUUGAUGUUUUACAAGUCUGCUCUAAUUUUCACAGGAGUGGACAAACCUACACACAGAGCUGAACAUUACAUAUUUUCCUGACUUGUUUUCUACAAUUUUUAUACUUACCCAAAUCCAACAUGCUUUUUCCUAGAAAAUGUUCUCAGGUUCUUAAACUGUUCAUUUCAGGAAAACUCAAUCUACUUGUAUGGUUCGGUCUUGUGUAUCAUCUUACACAGUAACAAAAAAGCAAAUUUGAUUCAUUUAAAUUACAGUUAAAUUCAUUUCUAAAAGACAAAUAUAUCUUUGUCCACUUAAAUGGAUGUAUGUCCAUCACACAUAUGUGAGAGAUUGGUUGUUAAGAACUCACAGCACCAAUAUAUCCAUAUUUGUGCUAACAGAGCAUGCUAACUUCCUUUUCCUAAUCCCUGCAUAUUUUGUUCUACAGUUGUCCUAUAAACAUACAAUGUAAAAGUACAGCUUCCCAUUCAUUAGUGGAAACAUGUAAGCUAUGUGCAUGUCAAAAUCUUAUUUUAAAGAAUUUCAAAUAAAUUUUAAAGAACUCUUUUAAAAUUC